GCAAGUCGAGCGGACAGAUGGGAGCUUGCUCCCUGAUGUUAGCGGCGGACGGGUGAGUAACACGUGGGUAACCUGCCUGUAAGACUGGGAUAACUCCGGGAAACCGGGGCUAAUACCGGAUGCUUGUUUGAACCGCAUGGUUCAGACAUAAAAGGUGGCUUCGGCUACCACUUACAGAUGGACCCGCGGCGCAUUAGCUAGUUGGUGAGGUAACGGCUCACCAAGGCGACGAUGCGUAGCCGACCUGAGAGGGUGAUCGGCCACACUGGGACUGAGACACGGCCCAGACUCCUACGGGAGGCAGCAGUAGGGAAUCUUCCGCAAUGGACGAAAGUCUGACGGAGCAACGCCGCGUGAGUGAUGAAGGUUUUCGGAUCGUAAAGCUCUGUUGUUAGGGAAGAACAAGUGCCGUUCAAAUAGGGCGGCACCUUGACGGUACCUAACCAGAAAGCCACGGCUAACUACGUGCCAGCAGCCGCGGUAAUACGUAGGUGGCAAGCGUUGUCCGGAAUUAUUGGGCGUAAAGGGCUCGCAGGCGGUUUCUUAAGUCUGAUGUGAAAGCCCCCGGCUCAACCGGGGAGGGUCAUUGGAAACUGGGGAACUUGAGUGCAGAAGAGGAGAGUGGAAUUCCACGUGUAGCGGUGAAAUGCGUAGAGAUGUGGAGGAACACCAGUGGCGAAGGCGACUCUCUGGUCUGUAACUGACGCUGAGGAGCGAAAGCGUGGGGAGCGAACAGGAUUAGAUACCCUGGUAGUCCACGCCGUAAACGAUGAGUGCUAAGUGUUAGGGGGUUUCCGCCCCUUAGUGCUGCAGCUAACGCAUUAAGCACUCCGCCU
This 836-nucleotide ribosomal RNA is filed under the name Bacillus licheniformis. Its description in RNAcentral is "bacterial SSU rRNA". It matches the Rfam family "Bacterial small subunit ribosomal RNA", at positions 57 to 874 of the family's 1533-position model. RNAcentral also lists the same sequence under 1 other name. Lineage: Bacteria; Bacillati; Bacillota; Bacilli; Caryophanales; Bacillaceae. The record is from RNAcentral.